This 73-nucleotide small nucleolar RNA is filed under the name Caenorhabditis brenneri. Its description in RNAcentral is "snoRNA CBN33910". It matches the Rfam family "Caenorhabditis snoRNA ceN89". The record is from Rfam by way of RNAcentral. Lineage: Eukaryota; Metazoa; Nematoda; Chromadorea; Rhabditida; Rhabditidae.
GCGCUAUGAGGAAGAUCACACACACACUCCGACUUUCUCGUGAGGAGAUAAUUAAGAACGGAUAUCUGAGCGC